CGCCCCGCUCGGGUCUCGGGACUUCGCCCAACUAGGAGGGUUUGGGGGGUAUAAACCAGAGAGGCCUGAGGACACUCUGAAGACACUGAAAAGUUCCAGUCAUUUGUUUGGAAUACACGUUAUGAACCCUUUCUGGAGUAUGUCUACAAGUUCUGUGCGCAAGAGACCCGAUGCUGAAGAGAAAACUUUGAGUGGAGAGCUGCGAACCAGUCCUCUACGAGCCUCUACAAAGAAACAGUUGCCUUCUAUUCCAAAGAAUGCUGUGCCAAUAACCAAGCCUGCUUCACCUGCCAUGUCAUCCCAGUCGACAAAUGGAACACAUGCUUCUUAUGGGCCUUUUUAUUUGGAGUAUUCCCUCCUUGCAGAGUUUACCUUGGUUGUAAAGCAGAAACUGCCAGGUGUCUACGUGCAGCCAUCUUACCGAUCAGCAUUAAUGUGGUUUGGUGUAAUAUUCAUAAGACAUGGGCUGUACCAGGAUGGUGUGUUUAAAUUUACUGUCUAUAUUCCUGAUAAUUACCCAGAUGGAGACUGCCCGCGCUUGGUUUUUGAUCUGCCUGUCUUCCAUCCACUAGUAGAUCCUUUAUCUGGUGAACUGGAUGUGAAAAGAGCAUUUGCAAAAUGGAGGCGAAAUCAUAAUCACAUAUGGCAAGUAUUAAUGUAUGCUCGCAGAGUCUUCUACAAGAUUGAUACAACUACUCCUCUGAAUCCUGAGGCUGCAGUGCUUUAUGAAAAAGAUAUUCAGCUGUUCAAAAGUAAAGUAGUGGAUAGUGUCAAACUAUGCAGCAGUCAUUUAUUUGAUCAGCCCAAAAUAGAGGAUCCCUAUGCAAUCAUUUUUUCUCCAUGGAAUCCAGCUAUACAUGAUGAAGCUAGAGAGAAGAUGUUGACUCAGAAGUAUAGAAAAGAAGGAAAAACCUGUGGAUCUUGGAAGAAAGCAAGCAAUUCCCUCUGCUGUUCCUGUUGUCAGUUGUGUGAUGACAUGCACAGAAAGACUUUCUGUCCUUCCCUCUCUUCUAUACCCACCAUGGGAAAGUAAAAGGAAGCGCAAGCCUUCUGGAGCAGUUGCUUAGUGCCACAGCUGUUUCUUGAAAAGCUAGUGAGUAACAGUGUUAGAGAGUGUGAGAGUGUGUGUGCAUGUACAUGCGUGCAUGUGGUUUUCCUCCUGUGUGAGCAAAAGGAACGAAUAACUGGGCAAAUAACAUUUCUUUGCUCCAGUGCUGAUUCAGUGAUCUUCAGGAAACUACUGUCAGUGUAACAUACGGGGUUGAAACCUAAUUUUUCAGUCUUUCAAAGCAAAGAAUGUCAUUCCUACUGUGUAUUGCCAACCACAGAAGCUGUCUGGCCCGCCUCCGUCAGUGAGAGGGAAAUCCUGUGGGCCGGGGGGCUGCGAGUGCCCACUCUGGGGUGCAAUGUGUUGCCUGAGAUGGCAUGGUAAGUGUGUGCUGGCAGCACCUGUGGCAUCUCCUGGGCCAGUGUGGCUGUGUGCAGCUUCGUGAGCCCCACACAGCUCUCCAGAGAGCUCCUGGCUUCAUCUCCCGGCAUGGAUGUGUUCGUUUCUCCCUGGGAUCUUUGCUGAAGAGGUUGAAGACCACGUCCAGCCCCCAUGGAAAAGGGCUCCUCUUCUGCUGCAUAGCCCUGCCAGCCUGCCUCCUCUGCGAAGAGGAGCAGCACCACCAGCCCCUGGCUGUGCUUGGAGAGACACCCCAGCAAAGGCAGUCCUUGGCGCUGACCCUCUGCGGGCUCCGCGGUGCCACGUUCUGGCAGAGCAACAGGAGGAAACGCGUUUAGAACAAACACAAUGACUAAACUGGGGCAAGAGUAAAGCCUUGUCCUUGUUGUGUGACUGAAACAUCUACACAAUUUCUUGACUUCAGCCUUUUUGUUAUGCAGGUGCAACACUCCCUAUCUAGAAUGAAGAUGCUUCUCAGGGAAGAUUUCUACUUUGUUCUUGGUGACCAGAGAGGACAGGAUUCAGCCUGUUACAUGUUCACCUGUCUCUGACCCAUAUAACCCAUCUGUUCCCUGAAAGCAAAGGGUACUGUUGCCGCACCUCCUGAGUCUGUCAGGUGAGUUCUGCUGGCUACUGCUGUCACUGCUGCCAGAGCGUCGUCGUCUCCUCCUGCCUUUUAUCAGGACACUGCGAU
Molecule: RNA transcript, 2141 nt
Organism: Haliaeetus leucocephalus (bald eagle)
Lineage: Eukaryota; Metazoa; Chordata; Aves; Accipitriformes; Accipitridae
Gene: AKTIP
Gene name: AKT interacting protein
Exons: 15
Source: RefSeq, a predicted model, not a curated record